RNAcentral lists this ribosomal RNA (459 nucleotides) under uncultured bacterium. RNAcentral's name for it is "partial 16S ribosomal RNA". It matches the Rfam family "Bacterial small subunit ribosomal RNA", at positions 338 to 795 of the family's 1533-position model. The record is from RNAcentral.
CCUACGUGAGGCAGCAGUGAGGAAUAUUGGUCAAUGGUCGGGAGACUGAACCAGCCAAGCCGCGUGAGGGAGGAAGGUACAGAGUAUCGUAAACCUCUUUUGUCAGGGAACAAAGACUGGGACGCGUCCCCGGAUGAGUGUACCUGAAGAAAAAGCAUCGGCGAACUCCGUGCCAGCAGCCGCGGUAAUACGGAGGAUGCGAGCGUUAUCCGGAUUUAUUGGGUUUAAAGGGUGCGCAGGAUGUCUGUUAAAUCAGCGGUCAAACUCCGGGGCUCAACCCCGGCCCGCCGUUGAAACUGGCAGUCUCGAGUUGGAGAGAAGUAUGCGGAAUGCGCGGUGUAGCGGUGAAAUGCAUAGAUAUCGCGCAGAACUCCGAUUGCGAAGGCAACAUGCCGGCUCCACACUGACGCUGAGGCACGAAAGCGUGGGUAUCGAACAGGAUUAGAUACCCCAGUAGUC